This 1651-nucleotide long non-coding RNA is filed under the name Salmo salar (Atlantic salmon). RNAcentral describes it as "lncRNA (ENSSSAG00000098484.1)". The record is from RNAcentral. Lineage: Eukaryota; Metazoa; Chordata; Actinopteri; Salmoniformes; Salmonidae.
CAGAGGAUAGGAUAUAGAGCUGUAGACUGCUAGCUCUAUGUAGACCCCCAGAGGACAGGAUAUAGAGCUGUAGACCCCCAGAGGACAGGAUAUAGAGCUGUAGACCCCCAGAGGACAGGAUAUAGAGCUGUAGUCUGCUAGCUCUAUGUAGACCCCCAGAGGAUAGGAUAUAGAGCUGUAGACCCCCAGAGGACAGGAUAUAGAGCUGUAGUCUGCUAGCUCUAUGUAGACCCCCAGAGGACAGGAUAUAGAGCUGUAGACCCCCAGAGGACAGGAUAUAGAGCUGUAGACUGCUGGCUCUAUGUAGACCCCCAGAGGACAGGAUAUAGAGCUGUAGACCCCCAGAGGAUAGGAUAUAGAGCUGUAGACCCCCAGAGGACAGGAUAUAGAGCUGUAGACUGCUGGCUCUAUGUAGACCCCCAGAGGACAGGAUAUAGAGCUGUAGACCCCCAGAGGAUAGGAUAUAGAGCUGCAGACCCCCAGAGGAUAGGAUAUAGAGCUGUAGUCUGCUAGCUCUAUGUAGACCCCCAGAGGAUAGGAUAUAGAGCUGUAGACCCCAGAGGGACAGGAUAGAGCUCUGUAGACCCCCAGAGGAUAGGAUAGAGCUGUAGACUCCCAGAGGAUAGGAUAUAGAGCUGUAGACCCCCAGAGGAUAGGAUAUAGAGCUGUAGACCCCCAGAGGAUUGGAUAUAGAGCUGUAGACCCCAGAGGAUUGGAUAUAGAGCUGCAGACCCCCAGAGGAUAGGAUAUAGAGCUGUAGACCCCCAGAGGAUAGGAUAUUGAGCUGUAGACCCCCAGAGGAUAGGAUAUAGAGCUGUAGACCCCCAGAGGAUAGGAUAUAGAGCUGCAGACCCCCAGAGCAUAGGAUAUAGAGCUGCAGACCCCCAGAGGACAGGAUGUAGUCUGCUGGCUCUAUGUAGACCCCCAGAGGAUAGGAUAUAGAGCUGUAGACCCCCAGAGGAUAGGAUAUAGAGCUGUAGACUGCUGGCUCUAUAUAGACCCCCAGGGGAUAGGCUAUAGAGCUGUAGUCUGCUAGCUCUAUGCAGACCCCCAGAGGAUAGGAUAUAGAGCUGUAGACCCCCAGAGGACAGGAUAUAGAGCUGUAGUCUGCUAGCUCUAUGUAGACCCCCAGAGGAUAGGAUAUAGAGCUGCAGACCACCAGAGGAUAGGAUAUAGAGCUGCAGACCCCCAGAGGACAGGAUAUAGAGCUGUAGUCUGCUGGCUCUAUGUAGACCCCCAGAGGAUAGGAUAUAGAGCUGUAGACCCCAGAGGAUAGGAUAUAGAGCUGUAGACCCCCAGAGGAUAGGAUAUAGAGCUGUAGACUGCUAGCUCUAUGUAGACCCCCAGGGGAUAGGCUAUAGAGCUGUAGUCUGCUAGCUCUAUGCAGACCCCCAGAGGAUAGGAUAUAGAGCUGUAGACCCCCAGAGGACAGGAUAUAGAGCUGUAGUCUGCUAGCUCUAUGUAGACCCCCAGAGGAUAGGAUAUAGAGCUGUAGACCCCCAGAGGACAGGAUAUAGAGCUGUAGUCUGCUAGCUCUAUGUAGACCCCCAGAGGACAGGAUAUAGAGCUGUAGACCCCCAGAGGAUAGGAUAUAGAGCUGUAGACUGCUGGUUUUAUGUAGACCCCCAGAGGACAGGAUAUAGAGCUGCAG